RNAcentral lists this transfer RNA (74 nucleotides) under Chloroflexota bacterium. RNAcentral describes it as "tRNA-Val". It matches the Rfam family "tRNA". From Rfam's summary of the family: Transfer RNA (tRNA) molecules are approximately 80 nucleotides in length. Their secondary structure includes four short double-helical elements and three loops (D, anti-codon, and T loops). Further hydrogen bonds mediate the characteristic L-shaped molecular structure. tRNAs have two regions of fundamental functional importance: the anti-codon, which is responsible for specific mRNA codon recognition, and the 3' end, to which the tRNAs corresponding amino acid is attached (by aminoacyl-tRNA synthetases). tRNAs cope with the degeneracy of the genetic code in two manners: having more than one tRNA (with a specific anti-codon) for a particular amino acid; and 'wobble' base-pairing, i.e. permitting non-standard base-pairing at the 3rd anti-codon position. Lineage: Bacteria; Bacillati; Chloroflexota. The record is from RNAcentral.
GGGCUCUUAGCUCAGCUGGUUAGAGCGCUGCCUUGACAUGGCAGAGGCCAGAGGUUCGAGUCCUCUAGAGCCCA